This 492-nucleotide ribosomal RNA is filed under the name uncultured bacterium. Its description in RNAcentral is "bacterial SSU rRNA". It matches the Rfam family "Bacterial small subunit ribosomal RNA", at positions 30 to 511 of the family's 1533-position model. The record is from RNAcentral.
AUUGAACGCUGGCGGCAUGCCUUACACAUGCAAGUCGAACGGCAGCACGGGAGCAAUCCUGGUGGCGAGUGGCGAACGGGUGAGUAAUGUAUCGGAACGUACCUUUCAGUGGGGAGUAACGUAGCGAAGUUACGCUAAUACCGCAUAUUCUGUGAGCAGGAAAGACAGGGGAGUCGCAAGACCUUGCGCUGAUUGAGCGGCCGAUAUCAGAUUAGCUAGUUGGUGAGGUAAAGGACUCACCAAGGCGACGAUCUGUAGCGGGUCGUGAGAGGAUGAUCCGCCACACUGGAACUGAGACACGGUCCAGACUCCUACGGGAGGCAGCAGUGGGGAAUUUUGGUACAAUGGGCGCAAGCCUGAUCCAGCCAUGCCGCGUGAGUGAAGAAGGCCUUAGGGUUGUAAAGCACUUUCAAUGGGUAAGAAAGUUAGGUCGUUAAUAGCGGCCAGCCCUGACAUUACCUUUAGAAGAAGGACCGGCUAACUCCGUGCCAG